This 405-nucleotide ribosomal RNA is filed under the name uncultured prokaryote. RNAcentral's name for it is "bacterial SSU rRNA". It matches the Rfam family "Bacterial small subunit ribosomal RNA", at positions 355 to 774 of the family's 1533-position model. The record is from RNAcentral.
UGGGGAAUAUUGGGCAAUGGGCGAAAGCCUGACCCAGCAACGCCGCGUGAAGGAAGAAGGUUUUCGGAUUGUAAACUUCUGUCCUCAGGGAAGAAGGACGUGACGGUACCUGAGGAGGAAGCCCCGGCUAACUACGUGCCAGCAGCCGCGGUAAUACGUAGGGGGCGAGCGUUGUCCGGAAUGACUGGGCGUAAAGGGCGCGUAGACGGCUGUCUAAGUCUGGAGUGAAAGUCCUGCUUUCAAGGUGGGAAGUGCUUUGGAGACUGGAUGGCUUGAGUGCGGAAGAGGUAAGUGGAAUGCCCAGUGUAGCGGUGAAAUGCGUAGAGAUUGGGAGGAACACCAGUGGCGAAGGCGACUUACUGGGCCGUAACUGACGUUGAUGCGCGAAAGCGUGGGGAGCGAACA